RNAcentral lists this non-coding RNA (29 nucleotides) under Cricetulus griseus (Chinese hamster). The record is from RNAcentral. Lineage: Eukaryota; Metazoa; Chordata; Mammalia; Rodentia; Cricetidae.
AAACUUGAGUAGAAAGUAGAGGCUGAGCU